This is a non-coding RNA of Galeopterus variegatus (Sunda flying lemur), 74 nucleotides long. The record is from the annotation of a RefSeq genome assembly. NCBI's taxonomy places the organism in Eukaryota, Metazoa, Chordata, Mammalia, Dermoptera, Cynocephalidae.
GGCUGGUUAGCUCAGUUGGUAGAGUGUGGUGCUGGUAACACCAAGGUCACGGGUUUGGAUUCCCGUACUGGCCA